UUGACAUCCACAGAACUUUCCAGAGAUGGAUUGGUGCCUUCGGGAACUGUGAGACAGGUGCUGCAUGGCUGUCGUCAGCUCGUGUUGUGAAAUGUUGGGUUAAGUCCCGCAACGAGCGCAACCCUUAUCCUUUGUUGCCAGCGGUCCGGCCGGGAACUCAAAGGAGACUGCCAGUGAUAAACUGGAGGAAGGUGGGGAUGACGUCAAGUCAUCAUGGCCCUUACGACCAGGGCUACACACGUGCUACAAUGGCGCAUACAAAGAGAAGCGACCUCGCGAGAGCAAGCGGACCUCAUAAAGUGCGUCGUAGUCCGGAUUGGAGUCUGCAACUCGACUCCAUGAAGUCGGAAUCGCUAGUAAUCGUGGAUCAGAAUGCCACGGUGAAUACGUUCCCGGGCCUUGUACACACCGCCCGUCACACCAUGGGAGUGGGUUGCAAAAGAAGUAGGUAGCUUAACCUUCGGGAGGGCGCUUACCACUUUGUGAUUCAUGACUGGGGUGAAGUCGUAACAAGGUAACCGUAGGGGAACCUGCGGUUGGAUCAC
This 545-nucleotide ribosomal RNA is filed under the name Escherichia coli. RNAcentral's name for it is "bacterial SSU rRNA". It matches the Rfam family "Bacterial small subunit ribosomal RNA", at positions 981 to 1526 of the family's 1533-position model. Lineage: Bacteria; Pseudomonadati; Pseudomonadota; Gammaproteobacteria; Enterobacterales; Enterobacteriaceae. The record is from RNAcentral. RNAcentral also lists the same sequence under 1 other name.